UACGAAGGGGGCUAGCGUUGUUCGGAAUCACUGGGCGUAAAGCGCACGUAGGCGGCUUGUUAAGUCAGGGGUGAAAUCCUGGAGCUCAACUCCAGAACUGCCCUUGAUACUGGCAAGCUGGAGUGUAGGAGAGGUUGGUGGAACUGCGAGUGUAGAGGUGAAAUUCGUAGAUAUUCGCAAGAACACCAGUGGCGAAGGCGGCCAACUGGCCUAUUACUGACGAUGAGGUGCGAAAGAGUGGGGAGCAAACAGG
This 253-nucleotide ribosomal RNA is filed under the name uncultured bacterium. RNAcentral's name for it is "partial 16S ribosomal RNA". It matches the Rfam family "Bacterial small subunit ribosomal RNA", at positions 524 to 776 of the family's 1533-position model. The record is from RNAcentral.